GAGAGCUGUACGAUAUGCACAACCUGCAUAAUUUUAUUGUUUAUUUUCCAGAGAGUGAGUGAGUGUGGGUAUGGGUCCUUUGGUAGGAAUUAGCAUCUUCUGGGUGUUUACUGUAUCUUUUACUGUUUACUUACAUGGUUUUCAUUUAUUUCUUUAAUAAUUCUGAGAAACAAGUAUUGUCAUCUGUAGUUUGCAAAAGCAAAAUUGAAUUUAGAAAAGUUAAGUAAUUUGUCUAAAGUUCAUAGCUGUUAAGUUGUGCCUUUUAAACCAGGUUUUGCUACUGAGGUUCAUCAAUGCAGAGUUCUAUCCAUAGAUUGCUUUAGAAUUCUAGCCCCAAAUACUUAACUCUAACUUUGAACCAGAUUUCUACAAAAAUAUCUUUAUCUUUAAAAUAAUAAAAAAACAGUGCAUACCCAGUAGAAGUGUUGUAGAGGUUAAAUAUGUAACGCACAGAAAACACAGUUUGGCAUUAGCAUUGAGAUAUAUGCUCAGUAUUGUUAGUUAAAUUAUUUUUCCACCUUCAAUUUUUUGACUUUUCAAGCAUACUGUUUCUGGAAGUCUUGAUGAGAAGAGUGUUGCAGAUCUGAACUGUAAUUCAGGGUGCUGAUGCAUUUGGAAGAAGGAAGAGUGAAGCAGUCAAGUGACAGGCUUAUGGUCUAGGGAGGCAGGGAGAAUCUGUAGCAAGUAGGUUCAAGUCGGUUGUUUGUUACAGUUCCUUAGAAUCAUAGGAAGCAGUGUGUCCUGAAGCAAUUCUCUAAUCCUCUUCUUUCUAAUUGAACAAUGUAAAGUAUUUGAAAAUAAGGGGGAGAUGAAGAAAUGAUGUAGGAGGUGUUUAUUUCCUGAUGGAGCACACCGAGGAGGUUUGUGAACUAGCUAUUUUAAGGCAGGGACUUGAUGUUACCUGAUGGGGUUCAUGAAUAUUGCAGGGUCAGUAUCAGAACUACUUGGUAGCCUGUAAUUCAGACCUGGAGUACCACUUAGAAGACAGGAAGUUAGGAUUUGUGCCAUAGUCUGAGAAAGCAUGUGUUUACUUUAUAUAUGAGACCUGGGCUCUUAAGAGAGCCAGACAGAGAAUCACCAGCUUGGUCACUCCUCCAUUCAUCGGCGCUUGUUUAGAGUCCCUGGAGCACCUGUUUUUUGAUAAAGAAAACAUUAGUGGAUGGAAACCGUUGUUGUGUGGGUCUCCUUCUCUAUUUGCAGUUCUGUAACACCUGCCCCUCUGUAACUAUAUAAAGGCAAGGAACACUUGGUCUAUUUAAAAAUAGUAAACUGCUUUCUGGGAAUUUCUUGGUAUGUGUUAAUGAUGUUUAAUUCCUAAACAUCAGUAUUGAUAAAUCCACAUGAGAUUUGUAAUUUGUUUUAAAUGCUACAGUACCCCUUCAAACCCCCUUUUAAAAAGACUGUCCUGGAAUUUAGUUUGAUAACCAGACUAAAUUUUUUUUUGUUGUUUUUUUUGUUUUGUUUUGUUUUUGUUUUUUGAGACCGGGUUUCUCUGUGUAGCCCUGGCUGUCCUGGACCUCACUCUGUAGGCCAGGCUGGCCUUGAACUCAGAAAUCUGCCUGCCUCUGCCUCCCGAGUGCUGGGAUUAAAGGCGUGCGCCACCACGCCCGGCGACCAGACUGAUCUUGACCUCAGAGAUUUGCUUUCCUCUGCCUCCCAAGUGCUAGGGUUAAAGGCCUGCCUGGCCAGGUUUUACUUGUAGUGAUAACUGGUUUGGUUUUGGCUUUUGUUCUUUUGCUUUUUAAAGAUUAUGUUGUUAAAUUCAGCAAUGAUUAACAGUAAGAGUUUUAUUUCCUCUUUUAAUCAUUUUCAGCAAUAGGCACAGCUUGCUGACAUUUACAGUGCCGGCUCACCAACUUCACCAUUGCACGGUUUCCCAAAAAGGGAGCAAAAGAUAUCAUCUCUGCAUAUUGUCCAAAUAACAUUUGGUGCUUAUCAGUGGGGGAGAUUAUUGUACUGUUAUAUGAACUAAUAUAAUUGAGUAUUUUUUGACUUGGGGUAUGCUUUGAUUAUCUCAUAUUAAGAAGCUGAUGUAAGGGCUGGAGAGAUGACUGCAGUUAGCCGUAGCAAAUAGCACUGGAUGAUUUUCAGAGGGGCUGGUUUUGAUUGUCAGCACCCUGGCAGCUAACAUUUGUCUGUAGCCCCAGUCUCAGGGGAUUUGACGUUAUCUUUUGCCUCCUCAGGCACCUGUCACUUGCACAUGGUACAUAGACAUACAUGUGGGCAAAACACCCAUACAU
This 2240-nucleotide long non-coding RNA is filed under the name Mus musculus (house mouse). RNAcentral's name for it is "long non-coding RNA chr16:38116429-38118669". Lineage: Eukaryota; Metazoa; Chordata; Mammalia; Rodentia; Muridae. The record is from RNAcentral.